UAAAGUAUAUAGAGGUUAUAUAGUUAUCUCUGAUGAAGUAAAAGAAGAUAGUAAAAAUGCCAUAAGAAGCUUAAAAGAAAUAGGGGUAAAAGAAGUUGUAAUGUUAACUGGAGAUAAUGAGAAAGUAGCAAAAAAUAUUGCUCAAGAAUUAGAAUUGGAUACAGUUUACUCAAAUUUACUUCCUAAUGAAAAGGUAGAUAGAUUAGAAGAUUUAUAUGAAGGAAGAACUGAAAAAGAGAAAAUAGCGUUUGUAGGUGAUGGAAUAAAUGAUGCUCCAGUAUUAGCUCGUGCUGAUGUUGGUAUAGCUAUGGGAGGCUUAGGUUCAGAUGCUGCUAUUGAAGCUGCAGAUGUAGUGCUUAUGACAGAUGAGCCUAGCAAGAUAUCUAAAGCAAUUGAAAUAGCAAACAAGACUAAUAAGAUAGUGUGGCAAAACAUAAUAUUUGCUCUAGGAGUAAAAAUUAUAGUUAUGAUACUAGGUGCUGGAGGAGUAGCUACUAUGUGGGAAGCUAUAUUUGCUGAUGUAGGUGUGGCACUUAUAGCAGUAGUAAAUGCUAUGAGAGCUAUGAGAUAAGGGAUAAAUGUAAAUCCAUACUAUUUAAAAAACUUAUAAUUAUAUAUUGAAGUAUGUAAUAAUGAAAGGUAUCAAUAAGUUUCUUUUAACUUUAUUGGUACCUUUUUAUUGGAGCGCUUUGCAUAUAUAAAUUUAUAUUCAUUAUCCAUUAUGUUUAUUUAAUGUAUUUAUUUAGUGUAGAGCUUUUAUAUUGUAAUUUUAAAAUUUAGACAUAGAAGGUUUAUUAAUAAGUUUAUAUUAAGUUUAAAUUAGAUUCAUAAAAAUUAUAAUACUUAUGAUUGUAUAUAUAUUAUAUUAAUAGUUGUAAUUUUUACAACAAAAUGUGUGUGUUAAAAUACUCUAAACCAACAGUAUGACUGCCAUUCAAUAAAUUAUGUAAUAUAAGAAAGUAAAUAUUUUUAAAAAAUAAUUUUAAAAAGUAUUGACGAAUUAUUUUUAAGGUGAUAUAGUAUUACUUGUCCUUAAGAAAAGGGCAAACAUAAAAAAUGAACUUUGAAAAUUAAACAGUAGGUUAAUUUAUAAAACAAGAAACAAACCAUAAAGCCAGAUAUUUUGAUAACAAUAGUAUCUGAGCCUGAUAAACUUUUAUUUGAGAGUUUGAUCCUGGCUCAGGAUGAACGCUGGCGGCGUGCCUAACACAUGCAAGUUGAGCGAUUUACUUCGGUAAAGAGCGGCGGACGGGUGAGUAACGCGUGGGUAACCUACCCUGUACACACGGAUAACAUACCGAAAGGUAUGCUAAUACGGGAUAAUAUAUUUGAGAGGCAUCUCUUAAUAUCAAAGGUGAGCCAGUACAGGAUGGACCCGCGUCUGAUUAGCUAGUUGGUAAGGUAACGGCUUACCAAGGCGACGAUCAGUAGCCGACCUGAGAGGGUGAUCGGCCACAUUGGAACUGAGACACGGUCCAAACUCCUACGGGAGGCAGCAGUGGGGAAUAUUGCACAAUGGGCGAAAGCCUGAUGCAGCAACGCCGCGUGAGUGAUGAAGGCCUUCGGGUCGUAAAACUCUGUCCUCAAGGAAGAUAAUGACGGUACUUGAGGAGGAAGCCCCGGCUAACUACGUGCCAGCAGCCGCGGUAAUACGUAGGGGGCUAGCGUUAUCCGGAUUUACUGGGCGUAAAGGGUGCGUAGGCGGUCUUUCAAGUCAGGAGUGAAAGGCUACGGCUCAACCGUAGUAAGCUCUUGAAACUGGGAGACUUGAGUGCAGGAGAGGAGAGUGGAAUUCCUAGUGUAGCGGUGAAAUGCGUAGAUAUUAGGAGGAACACCAGUUGCGAAGGCGGCUCUCUGGACUGUAACUGACGCUGAGGCACGAAAGCGUGGGGAGCAAACAGGAUUAGAUACCCUGGUAGUCCACGCUGUAAACGAUGAGUACUAGGUGUCGGGGGUUACCCCCUUCGGUGCCGCAGCUAACGCAUUAAGUACUCCGCCUGGGAAGUACGCUCGCAAGAGUGAAACUCAAAGGAAUUGACGGGGACCCGCACAAGUAGCGGAGCAUGUGGUUUAAUUCGAAGCAACGCGAAGAACCUUACCUAAGCUUGACAUCCCAAUGACAUCUCCUUAAUCGGAGAGUUCCCUUCGGGGACAUUGGUGACAGGUGGUGCAUGGUUGUCGUCAGCUCGUGUCGUGAGAUGUUGGGUUAAGUCCCGCAACGAGCGCAACCCUUGUCUUUAGUUGCCAUCAUUAAGUUGGGCACUCUAGAGAGACUGCCAGGGAUAACCUGGAGGAAGGUGGGGAUGACGUCAAAUCAUCAUGCCCCUUAUGCUUAGGGCUACACACGUGCUACAAUGGGUAGUACAGAGGGUUGCCAAGCCGUAAGGUGGAGCUAAUCCCUUAAAGCUACUCUCAGUUCGGAUUGUAGGCUGAAACUCGCCUACAUGAAGCUGGAGUUACUAGUAAUCGCAGAUCAGAAUGCUGCGGUGAAUGCGUUCCCGGGUCUUGUACACACCGCCCGUCACACCACGGGAGUUGGAGACGCCCGAAGCCGAUUAUCUAACCUUUUGGAAGAAGUCGUCGAAGGUGGAAUCAAUAACUGGGGUGAAGUCGUAACAAGGUAGCCGUAUCGGAAGGUGCGGCUGGAUCACCUCCUUU
RNAcentral lists this ribosomal RNA (2658 nucleotides) under Clostridioides difficile F601. RNAcentral describes it as "partial 23S ribosomal RNA". The stretch from base 1157 to 2658 matches the Rfam family "Bacterial small subunit ribosomal RNA". Lineage: Bacteria; Bacillati; Bacillota; Clostridia; Peptostreptococcales; Peptostreptococcaceae. The record is from RNAcentral.